RNAcentral lists this unclassified non-coding RNA (263 nucleotides) under plant metagenome. RNAcentral describes it as "partial contains small subunit ribosomal RNA, internal transcribed spacer 1, and 5.8S ribosomal RNA". The record is from RNAcentral.
UUUCCGUAGGUGAACCUGCGGAAGGAUCAUUAUUGUAUAACCGAGGUGCGAGGGCUGUCGCUGACCCGAAAGGUCGUGCACGCCCGAGUGCCCUCACACACAUCCAUCUCACCGCUAUGUGCACCACCGCGUGGGUCCCCCUUUGGCUUGUUCGGAGGGGGGCUUACGUUUUCACACAAACUUAGUAUGCAGUGUAGAAUGUAUUUUUUGUUUUUGCGAUCACGCAAUCAAUACAACUUUCAACAACGGAUCUCUUGGCUCUC